Vicia villosa (hairy vetch) is the source of this 2062-nucleotide long non-coding RNA. RefSeq lists it as uncharacterized. The record is from RefSeq and is a predicted model, not a curated record. NCBI's taxonomy places the organism in Eukaryota, Viridiplantae, Streptophyta, Magnoliopsida, Fabales, Fabaceae. The transcript has 6 exons.
CCAAUUUUUAAACAUUGUCCAACAGUUUACUGUCCGACCCCGUUUUUUUCAUUCUCUGUCAUUCUUUUCACAUCUUCACACUUCUCUCUCCAAGUUUUUCGGUUCUUCUUUCUCAUUUCCGUCAAACCCUAGCACGCCGCCGCCCCUUUCUCCUCUUUUUUGCUUUUUUGUUUUUCUUUCUUCAAUGUUCAUGUUCAAUAUUGAUGUUAAUGACUGGUGUUUUGCUUUCUCUGUGUAGUGUGUAUUACUCUUCCAAAUGGUUUCAUGUUUCUAUGGUUCUUUUCUGAUUUUAAUAUAUUGCAACAGAUUUUAACAUUUCUUCGGGUUUUGCAGAUUGUAUGUGUUGAUCAGGGCUCCACCAAAGAUCCCACAUGUGCAUAUUCCAUGAUGGAUUUCCUUCUGGAAGGAAUUUAAAAAAGUUUCUCUCGGUUAUUGCUGGAUUGUUGGUUUUGUCUAUUUUUGGGAGUUGGGCCAACUUCUUGAAACUGUUCUAUAUAGUUUUUUCCGGAUUGCUGUGUACAAAUCACUCUAUAUGCUAUUUGGAGGAUUUGUUGCAGAUGUAGUUGCUGCAAUUGAUCAGAGUUCUUGCUCUCCUCAUCAUGACUCAUGAUCGGAUUGUUGAAAUCAGUCCCCCAAUAUUCAAUCAAGUGAGGAUUUACUUUUGUGCUUAUGAAAUUAUAAUGUUGACUUCUUAUGAAGUUUUAUCUUUUAUUUUUUUCUGCUCCUUUAAUAGGUUUGCUUGAUAGUUCUAUGAGACGAUAAAUUAUGCUGUUGGUUUUUUAUUUAACCUUUCUGCUAAAUGUCUGUAGUGCAUCUAAAAUAUGUAAUAUAUUAAUUAGUGAUUGCUUCAUGGUUUCUAAACUCUCCAUAAGGUUUGUAUUUUGAUGAUGUUGAUUGGGCUUUUUCCCCUUACAUUGAGGUAAUUUAUUCCUCAUCAGCAAAUGAAUAAAACAACGGGUACAUGUUCCCUGCAGAAUAGUUUGAAUUAUAUACAAAGCUAUGGGUUUGUCUUUUCAGUUGUUUUUAAGUCCAACUUCUUAUCUUAAUGAAUCACAUAUGUCUAAUGAAAAUGCCUCUGUUUACUGAUAUCUUCUUUUUGUUCAAAUGGCAGGAGAGUAUGAACUAAGGCUUAUUUAAGGUCCUCUAUCUAUUUUUGGUGAUUGUGUAUCACAUUCUCAAUGAUCAGUGACUUCAAACAUUUGGAUGAGGUCUCGGACUCUUUAGAGAAGUUAAAAUUUGCUUGGCCAAAUAUCUAUCUCUUCAAGAUAAUCAUUUCGGCAACAGAUUGUAAGUUGCUCGCUGUCUAUAAAGUUCACACCAAGAAUUCACAAACGAGCCUGCACCUCGUGUUGACAGAGUGAAGAUGACAUUUUCAGGGCUUCCUUAAUCUGCAACAUGGACGUUGAUUGCAGAAAAUUUUUGGUCUGCAAACCUGACUUAGAUUGCAGAAAACUUAUGUUUACUUCUGUUUUACCAUUUUAUUUACUUCUGAAAUGUAAAAGUUUGUGUUUUAAGUGUGUCUUCAAGAUAAUUUUAAAGCCUUUGAAUUUUAUAAUUGAUGGGCUCACCUUUGUGCUACAUAUUUCUCAUUUGAUGCCAUAUAGAAGUAGUGUUACGACCUAAUGAUAUGCUCAAGGCUCUUUUGUUUAUAACCUGUAUAAUUUUAAAUGUUGACUCAGUAUCUAUAUAAUAUAUUAAAAAGUUGUUUUUGGAUUAUUUAUAAAUAUAUUUUAAAUAAAUUAAAUAUAUUAAAAAGUUGUUUAUUGACUCAGUAUAUGCAUGAUUUAAAUAUAUUUUUUAAUUUUGUGCAAGAUUUUUAUUGAUUAUAAAUAUAUUAAAAGAGGUUGAUAGAUACAGUUGAUUAUACUGUUGGGUUACAAUUAUAUUUUUUGAAAUAUUUCAUUUCAUUCAAAAGACAAAUUAUUUUAACCAUUUUAUUAUAAACUGUAAACAUAACAUUGUGAUAUUAUUAUUAUUUAAUAUAAUUUAUAAAAUAUAUAAUAUUUUGUAUUUUAUUUCAUUUAAUAUUUUAUAAACUCAUGUCAUUAUUAGCGUAAUACUA